This 247-nucleotide ribosomal RNA is filed under the name uncultured bacterium. RNAcentral's name for it is "partial 16S ribosomal RNA". It matches the Rfam family "Bacterial small subunit ribosomal RNA", at positions 89 to 339 of the family's 1533-position model. The record is from RNAcentral.
UGACGAGCGGCGGACGGGUGAGUAACGCGUAGGAAUCUACCCAGUAGCGGGGGAUAGCUUGGGGAAACUCAAAUUAAUACCGCAUACGCCCUACGGGGGAAAGCAGGGGAUCUUCGGACCUUGCACUAUUGGAUGAGCCUGCGUUGGAUUAGCUAGUUGGUGAGGUAAAGGCUCACCAAGGCGACGAUCCAUAGCUGGUCUGAGAGGAUGAUCAGCCACACUGGAACUGAGACACGGUCCAGACUCC